This 253-nucleotide ribosomal RNA is filed under the name uncultured bacterium. RNAcentral's name for it is "partial 16S ribosomal RNA". It matches the Rfam family "Bacterial small subunit ribosomal RNA", at positions 524 to 776 of the family's 1533-position model. The record is from RNAcentral.
UACGGAGGGGGCUAGCGUUGUUCGGAAUUACUGGGCGUAAAGCGCACGUAGGCGGCUUUGUAAGUUAGAGGUGAAAGCCCAGGGCUUAACCCCGGAAUUGCCUUUGAGACUGCAUCGCUAGAAUUGUGGAGAGGUAAGUGGAAUUCCGAGUGUAGAGGUGAAAUUCGUAGAUAUUCGGAAGAACACCAGUGGCGAAGGCGACUUACUGGACACAUAUUGACGCUGAGGUGCGAAAGCGUGGGGAGCAAACAGG